Molecule: unclassified non-coding RNA, 377 nt
Filed under: uncultured Pseudomonadota bacterium
Lineage: Bacteria; Pseudomonadati; Pseudomonadota
Description: uncultured proteobacterium contains 16S-23S intergenic spacer region
Source: RNAcentral
UCCGAGUUGACCCCGGCAGUCUCCCAUGAGUCCCCGGCAUAACCCGCUGGCAACAUGGAACAAGGGUUGCGCUCGUUGCGGGACUUAACCCAACAUCUCACAACACGAGCUGACGACAGCCAUGCAGCACCUGUCACUCGGCUCCCGAAGGCACUCCGCCGUCUCCGGCAGAUUCCGAGGAUGCCAAGGGUAGGUAAGGUUCUUCGCGUUGCAUCGAAUUAAACCACAUGCUCCACCGCUUGUGCGGGCCCCUGUCAAUUCCUUUGAGUUUUAAUCUUGCGACCGUACUCCCCAGGCGGGAUGCUUAAUGCGUUAGCUGCGCCACCGACAGGUAAACCUGCCGACGGCUAGCAUCCAUCGUUUACGGCGUGGACUAC